UGACCCUUCUUAAGCCGAGGGUCACCUAGCCAACUGACGUUGUUAGUGAACCCUUAUUGUUCACACAAAAUAUAUGACCAAUCACCCUUUUGUGAUUGGUUUUUUUUUU
Molecule: small RNA, 109 nt
Filed under: Vibrio chagasii
Lineage: Bacteria; Pseudomonadati; Pseudomonadota; Gammaproteobacteria; Vibrionales; Vibrionaceae
Description: Qrr
Rfam family: Qrr RNA
About the family: This family represents a set of small RNAs (the Qrr RNAs) that are thought to be involved in the regulation of quorum sensing in Vibrio species. It is believed that these RNAs, guided by a protein, Hfq, can mediate the destabilisation of the quorum-sensing master regulators LuxR/HapR mRNAs.
Source: RNAcentral